Molecule: ribosomal RNA, 305 nt
Filed under: uncultured bacterium
Lineage: Bacteria
Description: bacterial SSU rRNA
Rfam family: Bacterial small subunit ribosomal RNA
Source: RNAcentral
UGGCUCCUACGGGGGGCAGCAGUGAGGAAUAUUGGUCAAUGGACGCAAGUCUGAACCAGCCAUGCCGCGUGCAGGAUGACGGCUCUAUGAGUCGUAAACUGCUUUUGUACGAGGGUAAACCCCGAUACGUGUAUCGGGUUGAAAGUAUCGUACGAAUAAGGAUCGGCUAACUCCGUGCCAGCAGCCGCGGUAAUACGGAGGAUCCGAGCGUUAUCCGGAUUUAUUGGGUUUAAAGGGUGCGUAGGCGGUUUUUUAAGUUAGUGGUUAAACGUCGGGGCUUCACCUUGAUUUGCCAUUAAUACUGU